UUCAAUUUCGCGCGUCCACCAUCAAAGCGGCUCUCACGCGUUGUCAGUCAGCUGCAUCAAUCUGUCAGCUGUCGUCUCAGAUAUGGGAUCAUGCUGUGUUUCCAAACGUGUACUCAUUUUGGUGCGAUAAUUUUGUUCAUAGGACGAUCAUCAGAUUGAUUUCAUUCACGAUUGAAAUGGAAACGUUGAAGUUCAAAGGAGACGUAUACCGUCAACGUUAUCGAACGCAGAAAAUGCGUCUUUGAGCGUCUUCUCCAGCCGCGAAAGAUCUGAGGCCAACGUGACGUUAAGGCAAGAAACAGGAAACGAAAAGAAUGAAAUAGGGCUCAGUAUUGAAGAUGAAUAUGAACAGGAUCAUUAUAAGGGGAAUAUAUUGAGUGAAGGCGAAACUUCUGAAGGCAGUUCAAAUGAUAAUAGGAAGGUGCUAUGUGUCGACACGAAAUGUAAACCGAGUUUGACAAACGCGACAUCUCCAUAUUUAUUACCAAAUAAAAUUAUCUCGAUCCAGGAGACAUUUUUACAAUUGUUAUCCUCUGAAAGAUGUUCGAUUAAGGGAACACCUCCGCGCUUGCUCAACUAUAAAAAAGUAUUGAUGAUUCCGAAAGGAACUACUGGGGUGCCGAAAAUAGUAUGAAAUCACCUUCCUCCACCUCAACUGAAGAGUUCUUGAUGUUGGCUAUUGCUACUGCGUCGAAAGCCAUUCAAACGGACAAACCCCAACUUAAAGCUAUGGGCCCAGUAUAUGGCCGGUACAUUUGUAAUCACGAGCAAGCGCUUUCAGCCGAAUGUGGCGACCACUGUCGAUGGCUGUGCUAUCGCCUAAUUGCGUGCUGGUGUUUCAUGAAGGGGAGGACAUUUCGUGGGUCGACAUGGUUCACGCUGAGUUUCAGUUGAUAAGCGUGGCAGUUUUUCUCAAAUAUUUUCUACUUCAAGGAAGCAGCGUGAAGAGGCGCCGAAUUUUACGCUACGCGAUGUACUCAAUGGCAGUGGGGGUUGGCUUGUGACUCCGGGCGUUUCUCCAAGGAUAUGCUUACCUCUUCUACUAAGAAGAAGAGAAUUACCUCUAUUAAGCCCGUUGACGGCCCAAGAGAAAUGAUGCAGAUCUAGCAAUGAAUAAUAAUAGAAUGAAAAGGUCCAUAUACAAGCUGGGCCACGUGGUAUCUACUGACAUGUAGAAUCAUACACUUAGUUGAUAUGUCGCAACGUUACGUGUUCCACAUUAUAUGGAGAAACCUCCAUUUUGCAUGUCGAAAAUAUUUUGCGUAGCAUGUUGUACUAUGGAAGGGGCCGUUUAAGUAAACGUUCAGGUAUGUAUGUACAUAGUUUCCAAUGGUUCUCAGUAUAUUUUUAGAAAGAAUAGAGCAGAAGUACAUUCAUUGUUUAAUCAUGAGAUUAUUGAAUGGGACAAAUAGAAACCUAUUGUACAUAGGACUCUACAGAGAUUUUGUUAUAGUAGUGCGCGCAUUUACUAAUAGGUCAUUGUGGACACGAUUUUUGAUCUUUUGCUUUUGAAGUGUUGGAAAUGCGAGAGCAACAACCACAUGGGAUAACAGUUUUUAGAUUGGAGUCCUUAUUUUAACAGGAUACUUAACGAUCAUAAUAAAAUUUGUUCUUUUUCCCGAUGUCCAUCCUGUAUCCUUUUUCUUAUUUCAUCUCUAUGGUCUAUAUAUAUAUGGCGUGAACUUUCCCGACCGCAGUUAGUCCAGUGUGUCAUUGCAUCAGUUUUUGAUGCAAUCGCGUGCGUUUAAGGUAUUGUAAAUUCUACUCGUUACCAGCGUGUAUUCGAAACCCAAAGCUCAUUUAUGUUCGUGUGGGUGGGUUUAUUAUUUACUGCCGCCCCAUAGAUAACGCUACGGCCACACGAAGUAGAUUACGCAUCACCAUAUAUAGAUUACCCUAU
Molecule: long non-coding RNA, 1900 nt
Filed under: Varroa destructor (honeybee mite)
Lineage: Eukaryota; Metazoa; Arthropoda; Arachnida; Mesostigmata; Varroidae
Description: uncharacterized LOC111247854, transcript variant X3
Source: RNAcentral